This 69-nucleotide transfer RNA is filed under the name Struthiolaria papulosa. RNAcentral's name for it is "tRNA-Tyr". Lineage: Eukaryota; Metazoa; Mollusca; Gastropoda; Littorinimorpha; Struthiolaridae. The record is from RNAcentral.
UUGUUUGGUGACCGAGAAAAUAGGUAAUAGACUGUAGAUCUAUUCACGGAAUUAAAUUUCCCCAACAAA